AGUGAACGCUGGCGGUAGGCCUAACACAUGCAAGUCGAACGGCAGCACAGUAAGAGCUUGCUCUUACGGGUGGCGAGUGGCGGACGGGUGAGGAAUACAUCGGAAUCUACUUUUUCGUGGGGGAUAACGUAGGGAAACUUACGCUAAUACCGCAUACGACCUACGGGUGAAAGCAGGGGAUCUUCGGACCUUGCGCGAUUGAAUGAGCCGAUGUCGGAUUAGCUAGUUGGCGGGGUAAAGGCCCACCAAGGCGACGAUCCGUAGCUGGUCUGAGAGGAUGAUAAGCCACACUGGAACUGAGACACGGUCAAGACGACUACGGGAGGCAGCAGUGGGGAAUAGUGGACAAUGGGCGCAAGCCUGAUCCAGCCAUACCGCGUGGGUGAAGAAGGCCUUCGGGUUGUAAAGACCUUUUGUUGGGAAAGAAAAGCAGCAGGUUAAUACCCAGCUGUUCUGACGGUACCCAAAGAAUAAGCACCGGCUAACUUCGUG
Molecule: ribosomal RNA, 492 nt
Filed under: uncultured bacterium
Lineage: Bacteria
Description: partial 16S ribosomal RNA
Rfam family: Bacterial small subunit ribosomal RNA
Source: RNAcentral